CGACUGCCGACGGGAAGAAACUGUUCGUGUGGCGGGAGGUCUUAGUCCUGAUGGACCUCAGCCUCCUGCCAGAUGGAAGGGGCACAAACAGUUUUUGUCCGGGGUGAGAGGGGUCGGCCGCGAUCUUUUUAGCUCGCUUCAGAGACCUGGAAGCGAACAAGUCCUCCAGGGACGGCAGAUUGCAGCCGAUCACCCUCUCUGCAGAGCGGAUGACACGCUGAAGCCUGCCCGCAGAGAAUAUACAAAGAAUAUUUGUAUAUUGUAUUUGAACGUUUGUAAGAGUGACUUCUCACUAACUCCGACCAAGUUAACUACUCAGGCAACAGCACUCGAUAAAAUAUUUGAACCCAGUUAACGCAACUUUGUUUAAGUCUUCCGAAAGUAACCAAAAUUGACCCUGGAAACGAAACCGCCACCAGCUGCAGUAAGUUAGAUCGGAGAAAGCGAGACGCAUUGGAAGUAAAACAAACAGACGCUCGACAUACAGCGGAGAACUGUGCAGAGGAUUUCCUCCACGUGUCAAACAGAAGGGGGAGCCAAAAUGGAGCAUGAGCAAAGAGACCUCAAAAUAUGAAUGAACCUGGACUUGAGCACGCUAGACAUCCACCGAUCCAGCAGCAUCUCGUGGGGGCGGUGAGGAGAGUGUCACCGGGGAUCAAGCGGAUCCAUGUCAGUGUGCCGACACUGUGGAGAAACCGCACUGCUGCGCCUCAACCUCCUCCGAGCAUGUCGGAGGAGGCCCGUCCACCUGUGAGCAGUUUGGGAGUUUCAGUAAAAGAAGCAGUGUGACGACUCAUCAGUGGAUUCACACUGUGAAGCCCUUCAUCUGUGACCAAUGUGGGAGGAGUUUUCGCCAGUAUUCAUCUUGGUCGAAUCAUCAAAGCAUUCACACUGAAAAAUGAAGUGUGGCCUGUGAGUCUCUGGAGUAAAGCGUUAGCCUGGAUUGUUUGCAAGUUCACAUUCAAAUUAAAAUGUUUAUUC
Molecule: long non-coding RNA, 981 nt
Organism: Gasterosteus aculeatus aculeatus (three-spined stickleback)
Lineage: Eukaryota; Metazoa; Chordata; Actinopteri; Perciformes; Gasterosteidae
Source: Ensembl